Molecule: ribosomal RNA, 516 nt
Filed under: uncultured Glomus
Lineage: Eukaryota; Fungi; Glomeromycota; Glomeromycetes; Glomerales; Glomeraceae
Description: SSU rRNA
Rfam family: Eukaryotic small subunit ribosomal RNA
Source: RNAcentral
AGCAGCCGCGGUAAUUCCAGCUCCAAUAGCGUAUAUUAAAGUUGUUGCAGUUAAAAAGCUCGUAGUUGAAUUUCGGGGUUAGUAGGUUGGUCGUGCCACUGGUACGUACUGGUCUCACUGAUUCCUCCUUCCUGAUGAACUGUAAUGCCAUUAAUUUGGUGUUGCAGGGAAACUGGGCUGUUACUUUGAAAAAAAUUUAGAGUGUUUAAAGCAAGCUAACGCUUGAAUACAUUAGCAUGGAAUAAUGAAAUAGGACGUUCGAUCCUAUUUUGUUGGUUUCUAGGAUUGACGUAAUGAUUAAUAGGGAUAGUUGGGGGGCAUUAGUAUUCAAUUGUCAGAGGUGAAAUUCUUGGAUUUAUUGAAGACUAACUACUGCGAAAGCAUUUUGCCAAGGAUGUUUUCAUUUAAUCAAGAAACGAAAGUUAGGGGUAUCGAAGACGAUCAGAUACCGUCGUAGUCUUAACCAUAAACUAUGCCGACUAGGGAUCGGAUGAUGUUAAUUUUUUUAAUGACUCA